RNAcentral lists this non-coding RNA (102 nucleotides) under Prymnesium polylepis. Lineage: Eukaryota; Haptophyta; Prymnesiales; Prymnesiaceae. The record is from RNAcentral.
GGCGGCGUGGCCAUCGCGGAUGCCCUCCGCGUCAAUGCCUCGCUGACGAGCUGCAACGUUCUGAAAAAUAACCUGGACGUUCCUGCUGCCAAGGCCUUGGUG